Molecule: non-coding RNA, 125 nt
Organism: Triticum urartu
Lineage: Eukaryota; Viridiplantae; Streptophyta; Magnoliopsida; Poales; Poaceae
Source: Rfam
CUAAUACUCCCUCCGUCCAGAAAUACUUGUCUAGGAAAUGGAUGUAUCUAGAUGUAUUUUAGUUCUAAAUACAUCCAUUUUGAUCCAUUUCUACAACAAGUAUUUCAGGACAAAGGGAGUACCUA